AUACGGAGGGUGCAAGCGUUGUUCGGAUUCACUGGGUAUAAAGGGUGCGCAGGCGGCCUGUUAAGUCAGGGGUGAAAUAUGACGGCUCAACCGUCAAACUGCCCCUGAAACUGAUAGGCUUGAGUCCGGGAGAGGAAGGUGGAAUUCCAGGUGUAGCGGUGAAAUGCGUAAAUAUCUGGAGGAACACCGGUGGCGAAGGCGGCCUUCUGGCCCGGAACUGACGCUCAGGCACGAAAGCAUGGGGAGCGAACGGGAUUAGAAACCCCAGUAGUCC
RNAcentral lists this ribosomal RNA (274 nucleotides) under uncultured bacterium. Its description in RNAcentral is "partial 16S ribosomal RNA". It matches the Rfam family "Bacterial small subunit ribosomal RNA", at positions 523 to 796 of the family's 1533-position model. The record is from RNAcentral.